RNAcentral lists this ribosomal RNA (446 nucleotides) under uncultured bacterium. RNAcentral's name for it is "partial 16S ribosomal RNA". It matches the Rfam family "Bacterial small subunit ribosomal RNA", at positions 338 to 795 of the family's 1533-position model. The record is from RNAcentral.
CCUACGGGGGGCAGCAGUCGAGAAUCAUUCACAAUGGGGGAAACCCUGAUGGUGCGACGCCGCGUGGGGGAAUGAAGGUCUUCGGAUUGUAAACCCCUGUCAUGUGGGAGCAAAUUAAAAAGAUAGUACCACAAGAGGAAGAGACGGCUAACUCUGUGCCAGCAGCCGCGGUAAUACAGAGGUCUCAAGCGUUGUUCGGAAUCACUGGGCGUAAAGUGUGCGUAGGCUGUUUCGUAAGUCGUGUGUGAAAGGCGCGGGCUCAACCCGCGGACGGCACAUGAUACUGCGAGACUAGAGUAAUGGAGGGGGAACCGGAAUUCUCGGUGUAGCAGUGAAAUGCGUAGAUAUCGAGAGGAACACUCGUGGCGAAGGCGGGUUCCUGGACAUUAACUGACGCUGAGGCACGAAGGCCAGGGGAGCGAAAGGGAUUAGAUACCCGAGUAGUC